Molecule: long non-coding RNA, 6723 nt
Organism: Bombus terrestris (buff-tailed bumblebee)
Lineage: Eukaryota; Metazoa; Arthropoda; Insecta; Hymenoptera; Apidae
Exons: 7
Source: RefSeq, a predicted model, not a curated record
AUGUUACAUUAAGUAUUGAAACACGUUUCUUUUGUACACGUAAAUUCUUUCUUGUACAUGGUAUUUCGCAGUAUCGGAAAAUCCGGACUUGGAUUAGAUUUGGGUCACAGUCUAUUCUUCGGUCGGUAAGUUAGCUCAUCAAAAUGAGUGGGAAAAAUGCAAAUGUUUUUGUUUAUUGAAUUGCACAUUUAUGCAAUGGAAUAUGUGUAACAUGAUCUCGACGUUGACCGCGGCUGGAAAAGGAAAAAGGUUCAAUAAAUUCUUAAAAAUUUGUGAAUUAAAGAUAUUAAUUAUUACAAUCUCUAAUAUCUGAUUACGUUUUGAUAGAAAUUAAACUUUAACCAUAUUGGCACCCUUCGUGUAUAUAAUCUUAAAUUACAUUUACAUAACGGAAAUUAAAUUAAUAUAAUCUGCUUAAAAGUGGAGUAUCAACGCAAAGUACAAUUUGCUUAUCAAAAAUCAAUAUGCAUUCCUGACAUAGCGGAUAAGAACUUCGACCACUACCACGGAGUACAAAUAGUUCCAUAUGUAUCUUCAUUAAUUAAAUUGGAUGAAAACGAUUUUGUGCAUAACAUAAAAUUUGUGCAUUAAAUUAAUAGAUAAUUAUUACAUGACAUUUGUAUAUGUACAUAUAAAUACAGUACUUCUAAUGAUUUACAAAAAUAUUUAAUAGAAUAUUAUGUUACCUCCGUUACUGGCGAAAUAAUUUUUCAAAUGAUUAAUAUGAUGUUUAUUCGCAGAUUUGUUUGGAUGUCCUUCAAAAAACCAUAUUUUCCAUCGUUUAUCGAAAAAUUUCCAAUUAGUUCGAAGAGAUCACCUUUGUUUGUCCAUAAUUGGAUGAAUCUAAAUGGAAUGUUCAUAGACGUUCACGAGUAUUUCACUUUCACGGUGUCCCACUUAUAAGAAAAAGAAUUGUGAAAAUCUAAAAGCUUCGGGAAUGGUUUCACACAUUACAUUCAUUGAGGAUUUUACCUUUUCUCAACAACGUGCAGGAAUGAAAGGAUAUUUACUCGAUGCAAAGACACAGAGAAAGAAACUAGAAACACAGAACAUGGCGGAAGAUAAUGUACCAUGUAAUUUGAUAAUGCAUAAUCGAUGAAACAAAAAAGGUAUUAGAAAAGGAAAAAUUUGUCGCGGCGAUAGUAUUUCCACAAACGCCACAAAUUUCACAGCAACCCUUCCUUGGCGUGCUUCCUUCGUCAUUUUGUUCAAUGGAUUUGAUAAAGACGAACAGCCGUCGGGAAGUAUCAACAUUUUACGAAUUUGAUUUGUAUCAGGUAGUCGCAAUAUGUGAAACAUCAGCUUCUUGCAAUAAAAUAUACCUAUUCCUCAUGACAGUUAUUGUCUGAAGUGGUUCCUCUAUGCAGAGUGUCCUUAUUUAACUUAUUUAAUUACAAUAAUUAACAUUGCAAUCUGUUCUUCAUCCAAUGCUAUUGUAACAACUGAGUAAGUAAUAUUGUUCUUCUUAUAAAUUUUGCGCUAGAUCGUUUGGCAUUUGAUUCUAUAUGAAGCAACGCAAUGUACGGUAAGAAUGCGAUAUUACAGAUAAAAUAUUAUAUAAUAUAUUACACCCGAUUGAAAAUACAAUAUUAGCGAAUCGUUGAAAUAUGGUCCAAUGUUCGAAAUUGAAAAGAUUGACAAUGUAUAUCGUAGAAUCGUCUGAAAAUGGCAAACUUUCUGUAUUGCAGAUAUGGCGAAAGAAUAGAGGAUGAAUCAGUAAUUAAUUUCCAUAGUGAUGGGUUAUGGACAUGAAUUUUUACGAUGACUAACGGGUAAUUCGGAAAAAUAAGAGAUAACGGAAGAAUUGACAAAACGUAUACAAAAACGACUGAUUCUAUCAUGGAAGAUAUGACUCAGAUCUUUGUGAAAUUUCAAGCUGGAAAUUUUAUGAGCACCAGAUAUUGUUGAAAUGUAGAUUUUCUAUAGGAAUUCUGUAACAAAUAUACAAGACAAUAUAAAGGAAUCUGCUGCCGUCAAAAUAAGAAUUUCCUGUUAGAACUGAAAAAAUAGAAACGGAGGAUCAUAAAAUAUACACAGAGUCGUAACAAUAUAUCAUGAAAAAAGUGCUGCUUAUUAUCAUACUAUGACUUCCAUGUAGCUAAAUUAUAAAACGUCAGACGAAUUUUAUCCAUGCAUAUGGUGUUAUUUCAGUUGAAAAAAAAAAAUGAAAUAUGCUACAUUUUAAUAAUUUCAAUAAUUGGGAUUAUCAUGCUGAAAUGUCUGGAAUUAUAUAAAGAUUAACGAUUCUAAACUCACAAACCUCUCCGACUAUUCCGAAAAGGAAAAGAAAUACUCGUUUACUAUCGAUGUAUGAUCGCACGAAAAAAUCAAACAUAACUCCGAUUUUUGAUUGUAGAUGAAAAUCACAAAGAAAGAACAUCAUAGGUCACAUUUCCUACGUUUUACAGGAAACGAAUUCUAACAUUACCAAAAUUGUGUUUGUGUUCAAAAAACAGUGCUCGUCACAAUAUUCCAGUAUCAGAAAGAUAUUAAAAUAUUGCUUGUGUUAAUAAUUAUACAAAUUAUUCGUUCGCAAUUACAUCUUCUGUGUACUAAUAACGCAAUGUACCACAUUAAUAUGAUAUUUUCAGUAAAACCACAUAUUAUGUCUGUCAUUCGAAGGACACGUGAUUGUAAAUAUAACACUAUAAAAUCUUUUUUAUUGAAUGUUUUUGACAUUAAAAGGGUGAAGAAUGGCAAAAAUAAAAUUAAUCGAAAAUCAAAAUUCUAUUCCACUUCAGAAUUUCCAGAAGAAUGAAAUAUAAAUCAAUGAUUAAUAUAAAUAAUUUAUUAUUAAAUUAUCAAUUAUUAAAUAUUAAUUCGUAUCAUCACUACCAACAACUAUCGUAAAGUCAAUGAUGUAGGAGAAAUUCUACUGAAGAGAGUAUAUCAUAGUAAAGUACGAGAUAGACGUACUCAGCAUCUGAAAUGCAAUAACAUUUGACUAGCAGAUAUCAGACAACGAUUAUACUAAACAGACUGAAAAAAUCACCAUCGAAAAACCGACAUGAAAAGCAUCGAAAAAUUCGAAAAGGUUUAUCACAUUUUCCGUUGAACUCCUCAACAUGAUAAAGGGUAACAAAUUCUACGCUUCUACGCUAAUUCUAUUAUCAAAAAUAUACCAAGAAAGAAGGACAAAAAAAUAAGAGAUAAAAAAGUGUUUCGUUAAAAACUCGAAACAGAAUUUCCUACAUGUCAAUAUUAUGCACAGGAGUUAUUCUUUCUCCGCGUAUCUAAAAACUAUUUGUCGACCAUCCUCGUUACUUUUAAACACCGCUAGUUGUCUCGAAGGAUUUCUGCGAUGCCCUUUAUCUAUAAAUUCGAAGGCGUUGAAUUAAAAGGAACCUUGAAUCUUAAAAAAGGAAAUGUAAAAAUAUCUAAAUUAAUAAAAUAAAGACACAUACUGGACACAUUAUAGAACAGACCAUCAUCGCCGCGCCAAAAACUCCUUUCAUUUUAGUUAGCCACGAAUUAUCGUACGGCGAGAGUUCGACCACCGAUAAGAAAAUCUUAUUCAGUAUAGGAUUUUGCGGAUCCUCCAUCGUUACAGGGAGGCAAAAACUCGUCUAUGACAGUGGACUUGCAACAAGUUUCUCCGAUUCCCUGACUAUCUCGUGUAUUAACUCAGCUACAAUUUUCUUGUUCGACGCGUUUGGAAAGUUAAAGAACCAUAAUGUAACUUAAUGCAACUAGUAAACGAAACGAAGGAGAAACAAAUAGCUGUCUAUUAAAAGCUGCAGUUCCAUUAAUCUACCGGUGUGCGACUUCUACAAUGUUUUAUCCUAGGGAUGAAAUCGUGGAGUUGAUUGCAUACUUCGUGAGAACUCGUGCAACCGUUUCUCGUGUUUUCACGUUUGAAUGAGUUGGAGCUGGGAAACCGACCGAUGGCCUGUUUCCAAUGUUAUGGAAAUUUAAUGACGUCAAUUUCCCUUCCGUGUCCGUCUGUUUCACGCAUGAUCGUCCCCACUGCAGUAUACUUGCCCAUUCCUGAUUCACUGUGCAACAAGUUGCUCCCUAUUCUCAACAGUGAUGCAUAGAGCUUGUGUGUACGAGUCUGUUCUCGAAGAGGACAUAGUUGAGAAUCCAUGGCUGAUGAUCAAACUAAUAGAACGUUAAGCCACGUUAAUGUUUUAGAAAUUUUGACGCGAAUGCAACAGGUUGCAAUCAAAGGCAAGUAUACUUCACAUUUUCUUUCAAUCUUUUUCCAAUAGUUUUCAAUAGACAGUUGUACUUUUGGUUACAAUAAUUGACAAAAUUAUUAAUAAUUGCCCGCAUUACUUGACAUUUUUAGCAAGCACAAUAAUAUCUUUCUGCCAAUGCCAGAAGAGCAUAAAAAUAAAAUAGUUCUGUCCAUAGUAUUGCUUAAAUAAUUGUACCGACGCGAUGCACAGUAUGCAUUGACAGCAGUGAAUGUAUUGAAAGAGAACUUCAUCUUAAAAGUAUCAAUCCGAUCAACGUAGCUAGAAAAUGUGUAUUUUACGAAAAAUCUCGUACAAGUCCAAUUCUCUAAAGAUUAAUAGAAAAUUAAGAUUUGCGAACCAUGGUGUGAUCGUUUGACAUUGGACAGUGACAUAUAAUGUAGAAACAUGAAGCGUGGUUAUUCGAUUCUACUGUUCUGCUUUAAAGAGUUUCAGAAGAACGUGCUAUAUAUUGUCCACGCUGUUGCUUGACGUUUAAUGCUGUCGGAUAAUGUCUUUUCAGAACGGAAACUUUGCGCGUAGCCUGCCAUAGUACGAGAUUGUGUGUUUUUUUUUAGUGUUAUUUUAUAUUUUUUAUUUAGUGUUUUUUUUUUUUUGGUUAUGGAACUACACAACCGAAAGGAAAGUAGUUUUGUUUAUGAUAAUUAACCUAUGUUACAUUAAAUAUUGAAACACGUUUCUUUUGUACACGUAAAUUCUUUCUUGUACAUGGUAUCUCGCAGUAUCGGAAAAUCCGGACUUGGAUUAGAUUUGGGUCACAGUUUAUUCUUCGGUCGGUAAGUUAGCUCAUCAAAAUGAGUGGGAAAAAUGCAAAUGUUUUUGUUUAUUGAAUUGCAAAUUUAUGCAAUGGAAUAUGUGGAACACGAUCUCGACGUUGACCGCGGCUGGAAAAGGAAAAAGGUUUAAUAAAUUCUUAAAAAUUCGUGAAUUAAAGAUAUUAAUUAUUACAAUCUCUAAUAUCUGAUUACGUUUUGAUAGAAAUUAAAUUUUAAUCAUAUUGGCACCCGUCGUGUAUAUAAUCUUAAAUUCCAUUUACAUAACGGAAAUUAAAUUAAUAUAAUCUGUUUAAAAGUGGAGCAUGAACGCAAAGUACAAUUUUUGUAAAAGGAAGAGGGGAAACAAAAAACGAGAGGCAUUAGCGUGACAGGGGCAUGUCGAUUUCUUACGAAAAAGUAAAAAUGUAUGUUAUGGGAGAACUAUGACAGGGGAAUGAAAAAUCAAUAUGCAUUCCUGACAUAGCGGAUAAGAACUUCGACCACUACCACGGAGUACAAAUAGUUCCAUAUGUAUCUUCAUUAAUUAAAUUGGAUGAAAACGAUUUUGUGCAUAACAUAAAAUUUGUGCAUUAAAUUAAUAGAUAAUUAUUACAUGACAUUUGUAUAUGUACAUAUAAAUACAGUACUUCUAAUGAUUUACAAAAAUAUUUAAUAGAAUAUUAUGUUACCUCCGUUACUGGCGAAAUAAUUUUUCAAAUGAUUAAUAUGAUGUUUAUUCGCAGAUUUGUUUGGAUGUCCUUCAAAAAACCAUAUUUUCCAUCGUUUAUCGAAAAAUUUCCAAUUAGUUCGAAGAGAUCACCUUUGUUUGUCCAUAAUUGGAUGAAUCUAAAUGGAAUGUUCAUAGACGUUCACGAGUGCGUUUGAAAAGGGAAUAUUUGUCGCGACAGUAUUUCCGCAGUCUCCGCGAACUUCACAGUAAUAUUUCCUUGGUGUGUUCCCUUCAUUUUAUUCAAUGGAUUUGACAGCCAGGAUUUGGCUGGAGGAACAGUCGUCGAGGAGUUUCAACAGUUUAUGAAUUUGAUUUGUAUCAGAUUUGGUGAAAGAUUGGAGGAUGAAGUAGCAAUUAAUUUCAAUAGUGAUAGGUUAUGGACAUGAAUUUACUAUGACUAACGAGUAAUUCGAAAAAAUAAGAGAUAAGCGAGAAAUGGACAAAGACAUACAAAAACGACUGAUUCUAUCAUGGAAGAAAUGACUCACAGGAAUUCUGUAACAAAUAUACGAGACAAUAUGAAAGAAUCUGCAAUCGUCAAAUUAAGAAGUUAUUAUGAGGGCUGAAAAAAAUAGCAACGAAUGAUCUCGCAAUAUAUAUAGUGUGGCGUAAUAAUAAUAUAUCAUGGAAAAUGUGAUGCAUAUUACCAUAUUAUAACUUCUAUUUACCUAGAUUAUAAAGCGUCAGCCGAAUUUUAUCUAUGCAGGAGUUAUUUCACUUUUCAAAAAAAUAUGAAAUAUGCUAUAUUUUAAUAAUUACAAUAAUUGGAAUUAUCAUACUGGAACUUACAUAAGGAUUAUUGAAUCUGAACUCAUAAACAUUUUCGACCAUUUCGAAAAGGAAAAGAAAUAUUCGUUUACUCUCCAAGGAUGAUCGCACGAAAAAAUCAAACAUAACUCCGAUUUUUGAUUGUAGAUGAAAAUCACAAAGAAAGAACAUCAUAGGUCACAUUUCCUACGUUUUACAGGAAACGAAUUUUAACAUUACCGAAAUUGUGUUUGUAUUCCACUGCGGAAUUAUGCGUGUUCUUUUAUCGCAU